RNAcentral lists this unclassified non-coding RNA (208 nucleotides) under uncultured fungus. RNAcentral describes it as "partial contains 18S rRNA, ITS1 and 5.8S rRNA". The record is from RNAcentral. Lineage: Eukaryota; Fungi.
UGGUGAACCAGCGGAGGGAUCAUUACCGAGUUUACAACUCCCAAACCCCUGUGAACAUACCUGUUUUGUUGCUUCGGCGGUGCCCUCGCUCUCGUGGCGAGGCCCGCCAGAGGACCCAAACAAACUCUUUGAUUUUGAUCUAGGAUUUUACUUCUGAGUGAUAUACAAAAUAAAUCAAAACUUUCAACAACGGAUCUCUUGGUUCUGG